This 1355-nucleotide long non-coding RNA is filed under the name Citrus sinensis (sweet orange). RNAcentral's name for it is "long non-coding RNA (CSIN_LNC002970)". The record is from RNAcentral. Lineage: Eukaryota; Viridiplantae; Streptophyta; Magnoliopsida; Sapindales; Rutaceae.
UAUUACUCAUUUUGUUUCAAAUGUAGCUUGAAGAAGGAGAAAAAGAUUUUGUUCGGAGCCAAGAAUUCAAAUACUGCAUGCAUAAGUAAGUUCGCCAUUUCUUUAUGAAUUUUUUUUUUUUGAUUACAUGAGACUAAUGCUCAAACUACAACUCAUAUUACAUGAGACUAUAACUGAUAUUUACAAAUCAGACUAUUACUAGGACCAACUUACAUCAAUGUUAAUGGAGCUCUGCCCAGAUUUUAACCCUCAUAAAUAUUCGAGGGAUGUCUACUCCUCACUCUUGGGUAAGGAAAUAAACUACCUUCACUCAAUUUUUAAUUGAGGAAGGAAUACCCCCACAAUGCAUUUGUGGGGGUUCGAACUGCUGCCCUCCAACUUGGAGGGCAGCAGCCCUGACCACUCGGCCCAAGGCCGAGUGGCUCAUUUCUCUAUGAAUUUGAUAUGGCAGAAAUAGUAUUUUAAUUCACUCGGUAUCAAAAUUUUAUAUGGAAGUGAUAUAUAUUCCUUGUCGUGUAACUUGAUGCUGAGAAGCUUUGUGGAAGCUGUAUCUAGAAAUUUUCUCACUGUAUCACAUCUGGUUAUGAUGAACCCGAGCUGAAGCUUGUACCAAGGGAUAGAGGGGAUUGUGGGGAAAAGUUAAGAGGACGAGCAUUCUGAAGCUGUGUUUCUCAUCCAAUAAGAGCAAAACUAUUCUCAUCCAAUAAGAGCAAAACUAUGGUAUAGUGAAGUGCUAGGUAGAAUUCAAUGAGGGAUAUAUGCUUAUGGAACCUAAGUUCUGUUAUGAUGACUACAACCAAAGACAUGGUAGCCUAAAUGAGUGUGAUUUAAUAGAUGAAAGUGAUGAGACGAGAAGACAGACAGAAUUUAGAUGUGCUUAUUAGUAAUUAAGGCCAUUUAGGUUUAUGAUGGUAUGGGAACGUCUGGAGAGAUGCUUUUUAAAAUACAAUCAAACAAUUAGUUCACUGUGAAUAAGAUGGUAGACAGUGAAGGGCUCUAGGGACGAAGGAGACAAAACUGACAACCAUGGAAGUUAUAACACUUUGACAGGAGAUAUAACACUGGAUAUAAUUCUGCAAGUACAUAGUAGCGAAUAAAGGUUCAAAUUGAUUCUGCGGUGGUGGGAAGAGGAAGAAUCCCAAACAUAAUACGCAAAAGUAGAGUUAGAUGAUAACAGAGGAACAUGCUUUAGAUCUUAUAUGCAAUUGGCUUUUGUAGUUAAUAGUGAAAAUUGUCAAUUGGAGAUGGAUUGUGGUUAGAGACUUUGUAGGGAUCCUAUCUCUUGCUAUUCUUUUCCCCUGUAUGUACAAUCAUUUUUUAAUUGGAUAGAACUUCUACCGGUAAGUUCAUUGUCU